This 70-nucleotide transfer RNA is filed under the name Prunella collaris (Alpine accentor). Its description in RNAcentral is "tRNA-Val". It matches the Rfam family "tRNA". Rfam says of the family: Transfer RNA (tRNA) molecules are approximately 80 nucleotides in length. Their secondary structure includes four short double-helical elements and three loops (D, anti-codon, and T loops). The record is from RNAcentral. Lineage: Eukaryota; Metazoa; Chordata; Aves; Passeriformes; Prunellidae.
CAAGACGUAGCUUAAACAAAAGCAUUCAGCUUACACCUGAAAGAUAUCUGCUAACCCCAGAUCGUCUUGA